GGAGAAGGAGAGUCACCUGUCAAUGUUGCGCAUCGACACUGGAUGUGUAUGGUCGGGGCAAUGGGACAUGUAUGAUGCGGGCGCGGAAGCGGGUGGCGGGCGGUGCCCCAGUGGGCGCGGGCGGCCAGCACGGCGGGAACGCGUCGUUUUGCGGCACAGUGAGAGUGGUGUGCAAGCAGUCCCAUGGUGCGGCGAGGGCGAGUGCGGUCGAUGAGCCCGACGCAGAGGGCAGCACGGAGCCGCCGCGGGGGGCUCCGCCGGCUCCCCCGCGCCCGUUCCAUCACCCCGUCUGCCUGCGCACUCGGCUCGGCCGCGCCGCGCGCUCACUAAUGCGUCAUACCGCCAUCGAGACUGACGCGGCCAUACCGCCGCAACGACGCGACAGUUCGCGCCAUGUGAACUUCAGUGUUGACUUAUAUGUAGAGCCUCGGGAUUCAUCGAGUACUUGAGAUAGGUCGUAUCUUAAACGCUAGCAAUUAUGGACAGUGACUAUGGUGCUUGUGAGCAGAGACAGAGUGGUGCAUCGAACCAACGCACGUGCUCAGGACUCGACGGCAUUUCUGAAACUCGCUACCUAGAUGCCCUAGUCACGCAAUGCGGGUUGAGUAUUCAUCAAGAACCUACUGACUACGGGUAUGGACCUGCUGAUAGCAAAAAUUGAUUAUUGCGUAUUCUUAAACCAAUUCGAGCUCAUCGAAAUAAUUCAUAUAAUCCGCAUGCUGUUGGCGCAAGCCCACGAGGACAGCGACGAGCCGGAGGUCUAGCGCACCACCGACACCAUCUCACCAUCAUGGCCUUGCCACUCGCUCUACAGCAGGCGACACGUCGCGGGCAGCAUGGCGCGGACGAAGCGGCACGACGGCGCGCGGCCGCGCCUCGGCGGCGGCUCGUUCAGGUCGGAGAUGUCUCAGCGAAAUAGCAAACUUACCCUACGGAUAAAAUAACUUAUCGAAUAGUGCAUUUCCAUAAAUGUGAUAUUAUGUACCUAAGUAACCUAAAAAAUUAAAAAUGUCUGAUAAGUAGAUUAAAAUAAAAUUAUGUACGCCGA
This is an RNA transcript of Cydia strobilella, 1048 nucleotides long. RefSeq lists it as uncharacterized. The record is from RefSeq and is a predicted model, not a curated record. Lineage: Eukaryota; Metazoa; Arthropoda; Insecta; Lepidoptera; Tortricidae. The transcript is spliced from 6 exons.